UUUUUCGGCCAUACCAUCUUGAACAAGACUGAUCCCGUCUGAUCUCAGAAGCUAAGCAGAGUCGGGCCUGGUUGGUACUUGGAUGGGAGACCACCUAGGAAGACCAGGUGCUGUAAGCA
Molecule: ribosomal RNA, 119 nt
Filed under: Pteropus alecto (black flying fox)
Lineage: Eukaryota; Metazoa; Chordata; Mammalia; Chiroptera; Pteropodidae
Source: RNAcentral